Long non-coding RNA from Sander lucioperca (pikeperch), 246 nucleotides. RefSeq lists it as uncharacterized. The transcript has 2 exons. The record is from RefSeq and is a predicted model, not a curated record. NCBI's taxonomy places the organism in Eukaryota, Metazoa, Chordata, Actinopteri, Perciformes, Percidae.
GCUGCAUCGAACAGAGCAGUUGUUAUGGGGAGUAAACCUGCACAAUUACAGUUAUCUCUGUAGCCACUUGGUCAUCUAACCAUAUCUUAGAUUAAAGUGAAAGCAUCAGGCAUUUCUAUUUUAAAGUGACCACGAUUGUUGCUGGUGAACAUUGUUUACCCUAGAAACAAAAUUAUAGUCAACUUUCUCCUUGAAUGAAAAGUAAAGUUUAAACUCUGUAACUUCAUCUUCUUUUCGGAACAGCAG